AACCGCUCAGAGGUAAACGGGUGGAGUUGAACUGCAAUCCAUGGGGAUUCAGCUGAUGAGUAUGAUAUGCGUUUGGGCAUCUGAGCCUGCUAACCAAGACYGCGUGAUAGUGGGUCYYYGCUCUAUGRGUGGGGAUGUGCGCUGCGCUUGUCAAGUGCUGCACGCUUGGGUAGUGAAGGGUUUGCUUGUCAGUGCACUUUCUCAUGGUGUUCACCACGACCGGCGCUGCUGUCUGUCUGCUGUGGCCAAACCGGUUAGGUCUGAUCAUUUGGUCAGGUUUGAUCGGGAUGGCAGGUAGCUUUUCGGCUCUUGUUGGUUUCGGCUGGCUUGGGUCGUUGAGUGUAAUCAGCUGGCUAUAGUAGAUCAGUGCAGUGCGUCGGAGCUGGCGGCUUUGGUGUGUGCAURUGUGCUAUGGCUUACUGCCGGGGUCGGGUCUGGCUGGCAAUUUCCUGCUUUUGUGGGUUGUCAGUGUCUCGGUCUCGUUUGGUURGCGGUGGCAUGUGUGACACUUGCUUGGGCCAAUAGUCCGUGGUGUAGUGGUAGACGAUCCACCCGACCCGUCUUGAAACACGGACCAAGGAGUUUAACAUGUGCGCGAGUCAAUGGGCGUUACGAAACCCAAAGGCGCAGUGAAGGUAAAGGUUCGGCUUGUYCGGACUGAGGUGAGAUCCUGUUGUUUCCUCUGUCUUGGGCUACCAAGCUUUCGAGCAGCAGGCGCAUCACCGGCCCGUCCCAUGACGUAGUCGUGUAAGUAGCUU
Molecule: ribosomal RNA, 758 nt
Filed under: Neospirorchis sp. N-BR1
Lineage: Eukaryota; Metazoa; Platyhelminthes; Trematoda; Strigeidida; Spirorchiidae
Description: partial large subunit ribosomal RNA
Source: RNAcentral